Molecule: unclassified non-coding RNA, 161 nt
Filed under: uncultured Rhizoscyphus
Lineage: Eukaryota; Fungi; Ascomycota; Leotiomycetes; Helotiales; Helotiaceae
Description: sequence contains ITS1
Source: RNAcentral
AAGUAACUCCCCUGUUCUUGAGCAGGGUGCUACUCAACCCGUGUAUAUCUUACCUUUGUUGCUUUGGCGGGCCGCCUUCGGGCGUCGGCUCCGGUUGACAGCGCCCGCCAGAGGACCCAAACUCUUUUGUUUAGUGAUGUCUGAGUACUAUAUAAUAGUUA